CCUGCCUGUGUGAGUCAGCGGUGGAAAAAGCGACUCCAGUGCUCGAGGAUGGCCACCUUAUUUGCCUGUGACUCUGUGACCCCAAAGUUCUUUCCAUGUUGGAUAAAUUAUUGAGGUGAUGUUGUUUCUGCCACUAAAGUCAUGCUCUGCCUGUUGAAGUAGUCGCCAAAGUGUACCUCUAGAGAUAUGGUUGCUGGUAAACAAGAAAGUGGAGCAAAUGAGUGGAAUCCAAAUGAGAGCUGAUAUUGGAAGCCCAGAUUUCUACAAAUUCUUGGAGACCUCCGUGGGAUAAAACAGGCCACACCACCUCUGAAAGGACAGCUACUUGAGGAAAGACUGGCACUGUGUUGUGGAACAUUCCUUCUUGAGUACUCUAAGCAGAGAUCAAAGCCUGUCUUCCCUUUGGAGACCCAGCAACGUGGUUUCCUCACAGAGGAUUUGGAGCAAGGGAUGGAGAGCCCUCCAAGAGGAAAUCAGCCCAUGCUAUACUGACUUUCACUCUGAGAAAUGGAAAAAUCACAGCGCCAUUUCGAAUGUUUCCAAAAACUUUCAGAAAUUAAUAUCUCCGUCCCAGAGGAACAGUGCCCCCAGCCUGGGAGCUACUCUGUGUCAUCAGACAUAGUGACAAGACAGCCAUCUCAGCUCAGGUUCAGACUGCUCCACAGCGACUCUCUGCCCUAGCACAGCCUGACUCACCAUCGUGUAAAAGACUCACACUGAAAAAUCUGGCCUGAAAUGAUUGCUGGAACAAUCCCGGGAACCAUUCCACCGCCGCCGCCGUGCAUAUGCACAGCCUCUGCGAAGCCUAAUCUGAAUUCAGUGUUGCAAAAGCCAGCCUGAGAGCUCUGUAACCAAACCUCAGUCCAGGAGCCAAACCAUUUAACCCCCUGGCAUCAAACAGUUCAGAAAAUGAACUAAAAUUAGAAUGCCCAAGUAAGCACUGAAGUGCUUUCCUUACUAUUUGUGUCCAAAAAGCUGUUCUGGACAUCACACCAUUAAGCAAAGCAACGUAACUGGCCAGCAGCAAUGGUCAACGUGAAUUCAGGUUUGGAAAUGAGCUAGGCUCUUAGCUUCUCCAUAGAUUUGCCCUGCAGCUGUCACUCACUGGCAAGGGACAGAGCUGGGCUGUGUCACUCAACACACAUUUGAGGAAUGACUUCAGGACUCCCCACAUUUGGCUGCUCUUGGUCACAGACCAUCAGAAAUGGUCUACUUUGGCCACUUUUUUUUUUUUUCUUAAACCACAUCAGAUUAAAACAUUUUUUUUCCAACAAUUUGUUCCCAGCACAAGGAAUUUCCAAGUAAAAGGCAAUUAUUUGAAAUCUACCAUCAGGCCACAGAAAACAGAGUAAACAUUUAAUAUAUUUAAACAAUCAUGCCUGUAUUUCUUUUUUGUUUGCCUAAAGCUACUUGCGGACUCCAAGUAUUUAUCCUCUUCAGUGCCAACAUGGGGCAGCUGCAGAUAGGCAAAAAGAGCACUUAGAAGCGAAUUCCAAGGUUUCAGAAAAGCUCACAGCACAUUCUCCAAGGGAAGUACAAGAAUUCUACUAAGAUUCUUCUCUAUCAGACAUCACAAUGGAGAACACUCAGAAAGUCACUAAACGUUCCUGUAAGGAUAGAAGUGGCUCCAACAGACUGACUCCAUCUCUCAAUGUCAAAAGGACUGAGCCAGUAAGACCACACUGGGGAAGAAGGAAAAGAGCACAAACUGGAGUUCAAAGGUGCAUUAGGGACGUUUCAAAUUGUUUGUAUAAAAUGGAGCCCAACAAUUAGAACAAAAUAAAAUUACACCAUGGAGGAUUAUUUAACCCAAAAUUUAAAAAAAAAAAAAAAAAGAUCUAUCAGCUUUCAAGUUUAACGCACUAGCAUUCUCUGGACAGGAAAGGUAUAUAA
Molecule: long non-coding RNA, 1893 nt
Organism: Lutra lutra (Eurasian river otter)
Lineage: Eukaryota; Metazoa; Chordata; Mammalia; Carnivora; Mustelidae
Exons: 6
Source: RefSeq, a predicted model, not a curated record